AGAGUUUGAUCCUGGCUCAGGAUGAACGCUAGCGGGAGGCCUAACACAUGCAAGUCGAGCGGGAUUUUCCUUCGGGGAUUGAGAGCGGCGCACGGGUGAGUAACGCGUAUGCAACCUACCUUUUACAGGGGGAUAGCCCAGAGAAAUUUGGAUUAAUACCUCAUAGUACUUAGAUAUCGCAUGAUAUUUAAGUUAAAGUUCCGGCGGUAAAAGAUGGGCAUGCGUGACAUUAGUUUGUUGGCGGGGUAACGGCCCACCAAGACUACGAUGUCUAGGGGUUCUGAGAGGAUGAUCCCCCACACUGGUACUGAGACACGGACCAGACUCCUACGGGAGGCAGCAGUGAGGAAUAUUGGUCAAUGGGCGCAAGCCUGAACCAGCCAUCCCGCGUGAAGGAUGAAUGUACUAUGUAUUGUAAACUUCUUUUCUGUACCAAGAAUGGGCACUACGUGUAGUGUUAUGACGGUAGUACAGGAAUAAGCAUCGGCUAACUCCGUGCCAGCAGCCGCGGUAAUACGGAGGAUGCGAGCGUUAUCCGGAUUCAUUGGGUUUAAAGGGUGCGUAGGCGGCUGUUUAAGUCAGUGGUGAAAUCCUGCGGCUCAACCGUAGAACUGCCAUUGAUACUGAAUAGCUUGAAUACAAUUGAGGUAGGCGGAAUGAGUAGUGUAGCGGUGAAAUGCUUAGAUAUUACUCAGAACACCUAUUGCGAAGGCAGCUUACCAAACUGUUAUUGACGCUGAUGCACGAAAGCGUGGGGAGCGAACAGGAUUAGAUACCCUGGUAGUCCACGCCGUAAACGAUGUUCACUCGCUGUAUGCAAUACACCGUAUGCGGCCAAGCGAAAGUAUUAAGUGAACCACCUGGGGAGUACGUCGGCAACGGUGAAACUCAAAGGAAUUGACGGGGGCCCGCACAAGCGGAGGAACAUGUGGUUUAAUUCGAUGAUACGCGAGGAACCUUACCUGGGCUUAAAUGUAGAUUGCAUGUCGUAGAAAUACGCUUCCCUUCGGGGCUAUUUACAAGGUGCUGCAUGGUUGUCGUCAGCCCGUGCCGUGAGGUGUCGGGUUAAGUCCCAUAACGAGCGCAACCCCUAUCGUUAGUUGCCAUCAGGUAAUGCUGGGAACUCUAGCGAGACUGCCACCGUAAGGUGAGAGGAAGGUGGGGAUGACGUCAAAUCAGCACGGCCCUUAUGUCCAGGGCUACACACGUGUUACAAUGGCCGGUACAAAGGGCAGCUACACCGCGAGGUGAUGCUAAUCUCAAAAGCCGGUCUCAGUUCGGAUCGGAGUCUGCAACUCGACUCCGUGAAGUUGGAUUCGCUAGUAAUCGUAGAUCAGCCAUGCUACGGUGAAUACGUUCCCGGGCCUUGUACACACCGCCCGUCAAACCAUGGAAGCUGGGGGGACCUGAAGUCUGUCGCCGAAAGGAGCGGCCUAGGGUAAAAAAAAAU
RNAcentral lists this ribosomal RNA (1450 nucleotides) under metagenome. RNAcentral describes it as "bacterial SSU rRNA". It matches the Rfam family "Bacterial small subunit ribosomal RNA". The record is from RNAcentral.